UACGUAGGGGGCAAGCGUUAUCCGGAUUUACUGGGUGUAAAGGGAGCGUAGACGGCAGAGCAAGUCCGGAGUGAAAGCCCGGGGCCCAACCCCGGGACUGCUCUGGAAACUGUUAAGCUGGAGUGCGGGAGGGGCAGGCGGAAUUCCUGGUGUAGCGGUGAAAUGCGUAGAUAUCAGGAGGAACACCGGCGGCGAAGGCGGCCUGCUGGACGAUGACUGACGUUGAGGCUCGAAAGCGUGGGGAGCAAACAGG
Molecule: ribosomal RNA, 253 nt
Filed under: uncultured bacterium
Lineage: Bacteria
Description: partial 16S ribosomal RNA
Rfam family: Bacterial small subunit ribosomal RNA
Source: RNAcentral